CGAGAGACAAGCUACCAUGAACAGGGAAAGCUCACACGGCCUGAACCCUACACGAUGACUACAGGAAACUGAGGAAUGCUGGGAGUGGGAAAAAUAGUCUGCCCCAGGGAAGAGCACAGCAACUGGUUAUCCAGCACCAAACGGCCCCAGGUCCUUCAAGCCCACUGCUGCCACUCAGGAUCAGCUUCCAUCUGCUUCUCAUGGCUGCAACAUCGGAGACCUAACCCCAAGUCACAAAAGGAACAUGUAUUUACUCCCCUGGACCACUCUACUCUGUCUUGACUGGAGUCAGGCAAUAAUACUAGAACAGACCAAGCACAGUUGAUUUCAGGGUUUGGAGCAUAAACAAUAAAGCCACAAGGAUCUA
This is a long non-coding RNA of Mastomys coucha (southern multimammate mouse), 367 nucleotides long. RefSeq lists it as uncharacterized. The record is from RefSeq and is a predicted model, not a curated record. Lineage: Eukaryota; Metazoa; Chordata; Mammalia; Rodentia; Muridae. The transcript has 2 exons.